Molecule: ribosomal RNA, 468 nt
Filed under: uncultured bacterium
Lineage: Bacteria
Description: partial 16S ribosomal RNA
Rfam family: Bacterial small subunit ribosomal RNA
Source: RNAcentral
GACGAACGCUGGCGGCGUGCUUAACACAUGCAAGUCGAACGGAAAGGCCCUGCUUUUGUGGGGUGCUCGAGUGGCGAACGGGUGAGUAACACGUGAGUAACCUGCCCUUGACUUUGGGAUAACUUCAGGAAACUGGGGCUAAUACCGGAUAGGAGCUCCUGCUGCAUGGUGGGGGUUGGAAAGUUUCGUCGGUGGGGGAUGGACUCGGGGCUUAUUAGCUUGUUGGUGGGGUAGUGGCUUACCAAGGCUUUGAUGGGUAGCCGGCCUGAGAGGGUAGCCGGCGACAAUGGGACUGAGAUACGGAGCAGACUCCUACGGGAGGCAGCAGGGGGGAGUAUUGCACAAUGGGCGGAAGCCUGAUGCAGAAGCGCCGCGUUCGGGAUGACGGUCUUCGGGUUGUAAACCGCUGUCGCCUGUGACGAAGCGUGAGUGACGGUAAUGGGUGAAGAAGCACCGGCUAACUACGUG